This 6053-nucleotide long non-coding RNA is filed under the name Sus scrofa (pig). RNAcentral's name for it is "lncRNA (ENSSSCG00060015611.1)". The record is from RNAcentral. Lineage: Eukaryota; Metazoa; Chordata; Mammalia; Artiodactyla; Suidae.
UAUGGAAAAUAUAGGGGAUAUUAAGGAUAGAAGUAGAUGGUAUAAAUAUAUUUAAUAGAAAUUUCAGAAUGAAAAUUUUAAGAAAAUGAGAGUUAGUAUUAAGUGAAUAAGCAUUUCCUAAAAAUUGAUUUAAAAUGGCCUAAGCAGUAUAAAUUAAACCCACAUCUAAAUAUUGUAAUGAGACUGCAGAAGAACAAAGAGGAUAGCAAAAGAGCAAGUAGUAAAUAACUGUGAAUGAUAUAGUAAGAGUGAUGGUAAGAAUGACAGCAAUCUUCUGAAAGGCAAUAAUUGGUGGCAGAGGCCAAUGAAAACUUUUCAGAAUCUGAAAAGUACUUGCCAAAGAUAUUCGCAUUCAUAGAUAUUUUAAAUUUUUAAAAAAUAAAGUUUUUUUUAAAAAAAUCAAAUUCUGGGAGAUUUUGCACCUGACAUUCAGUGAAAAAACUGUGAAAGAAUAUACUUCAGAAUUAUAAAAAAUGAAUUCUGAAGAAAGGAUAAAGGAUUCAAGAUAUUUUGGUGAGGAAAUUUAAUAAAGACCCAAGUCAAUACAAACAGGUGAUGGAAAUUUAAAACAAUACAAUUAAAAGUUAAUGUUUCUAAAUCAAAGAGAACUGGAAAUCAUUCUUAAAUGAGCAUAACAUAUUCAGUUAAAAAAAAAUUAAAAGUCAAUGACUAGGAUAGCUCAUACAAUAUUGCUUUCAGAGUUCCCUUAUGGUACAGCAGGUUAAGUAUCUAGAGUUUUCACUGCAGUAGCUUGGUUUGCUGCUAUGGCACUAAUUCUAUCUCUGGCUCUGAAACUUAAAAAAAAAAAAAAAAAAAGCCUCUCUAAAAGCUUCUCAAACCUGGUGGGUUGCUCAGUUGAUGAAGGCUGCAUUGUCAAAUAAUACCUUUUGCCAAGUUACCUUCCUAUGUGAUCCAGUCCUCUGAUGUACUGAGUAUUGCAACUGAAACUUGAUGGGGAUCAAAAACAAAAUAAACGUGAUCUUGCCCAAUUCUAAACAGUAAGAAAUAAAAGAAAUCCCUUUAAUCAAGAAAGAUCAAGGAGUUCCUGUUGUGGCUCAGUGGUAGUGAACCCAACUAGUAACCAUGAGGCCCUGGGUUUGAUCCCUGGCCUCAGUCAGUGGGUUAAGGAUCUGGCAUUGCUGUGUAGUUGGCAGAUGCAGCUUGGAUCUGGUGUUGAUGUGGCUAUAGCAUAGGCUGGCAGCUGUGGCUCCAAUUUGACACCUAUUUUCCAAUAUCAGUAUCAGAACAAAAGAUACAAGUAAAAAAUUGAAAUUGUGUUUACAGUAAUAAUUAUAACAAGCAGUUCCCCAAGCAUAAAUACAAACUCUGAAUCCUUGAAUUCUUCCAACUGAAUUAACUACUGCCUUCUCUGUGUUUACUAAACCAUUUCCCUAGAUCCCUCUCUAACACAUUUAUGUGUCUGACAAUAAAAUCCAUUAAAAUAUAAUUAUGAAUCAAAACUUAAUUAUAUUAAAAUUUCUGAUAAUAAAUAUAUAUUACUAAGUGGCUUCUAAUUUGUAUGAUUUUUUAAAAAUUAAAUUUCCAGGCAUUGAGAGCAGAAAUUAUUCUUAUUAAUGUGUAUACCUGUUGUUUUGUAUUUUGUAAAUGACUGUACAUUUUAGUACUUUUAAAGGUGUGCAUAUGUAUCUCAGCAAAAAAUAUGUGUUCAAAGUGUUUAAUAAUGAGUUCCCAUUGUGGCUCAGUGGUAACAAACCCAACUAGUAUCCAUAAGCAUGUGGAUUUGAUCUCUGGCCUCACUCAGUGCGUUAAGGAUCUGGCAUUGCCAUGAGCUGUGGUGUAGGUUGCAGAUAUGGUUCAAAUCUGGCAUUGUUGUGGCUGUGGCAUAGGCCAGCAGCUGUGGCUCUGAUUUGACCUCUAGCCUGAGAACUUCCAUAUGCAGUCCUAAAAAAAAAAGAUGUUCAAUAGAUAUUAAUUAGAUGAACAUUCGGAAGUAAUUUAUAAUUAAUGUACAUAAUUUCCUGUUAGAGAUUAUUCAGUAAAAGUGCAGAGGUAUUUUAAUUUAAAAAAUGUGUUUCAUAUGAAAGUUUUCUUACUGUAAUAUCUCAUCAUCCCUAGUUGAAAAUAAAAGUUAAAAAGCUAUUCCUCUCUGUCCACUUUAGCAUAUUUGUUUCCAAUCCAUUAACCCUAACAAGUUAAUACAAACACAUUUGUAUAUUAAAACAAAAUAUUAAAAUGCUAUAUAUUACAGUGAUAGAAAUUACAAAUUGCAAUGUUUAUAUCAGCAACCUCUGAACUAGCCUAUUCAUUUUAGAGAACAUAUUUCAUUGCUGUAUUAUUUGUAAUGUUACAGUAAUUUUGUUUUCAUGAUAUGUAUACCAAAUGCUUUAUCAAAUGUUAUGAAGUGUUAUUACAAAUUCAUUUUCUAUAGGGAGGGGAAAUGCCUAAGCCACUGAUUCAAUGAACCCAACAUAUAUUGAUAGUUUAAUUACUGACAUGAAAAUUGUAGCUAAAAAGUGAAAAUGAAGCAUUUAUAAAGCAUACUAUAUAUAAUUUAUUGAGAAAGAGUAUAUAUUAUUCAAACAAGUGUGAAAUGACCAACUCAUACAAAGAUAUAAACUUAACUUUUAAAUAAAUCUUUUGUUGGACUAUCCUUGUGAAUAAAUUUGAAAUUAAUUUGUUAGAUUGGGGGUAGUAUCAGAGUUUAUCCCUAUUAUUAUUCUAAGUCAUAUGUUUUAUGAUAUAAAUAAAAUUUAAAAUAUGCAUGUAUAUAUAUAUGCCUAUAUAUGAUAAUAUGUGUGUGUGUAUAUAUAUAUAUAUAUAUAUAAAUGAACACACAUUUGAAUUUUAGCCCAUCCAUAAAUUAGUACAUUUAAGCUAUUAUCAUUUUUGUUAGGUAGCACCUAUUUGUCCAUGAUAUUUUCAUCAAUUUAAUUAUCAGAUCAUAGGCCUCAGAGGAAAUAAGUCGAGCUAGCUAUAUUUAGAUCAAAAUUGAAGAGUACAAAGACUGGAUGCAGAGGAAUUAUCUGAAGAAGACAGGACUAGAUUAAACAUUAUAAAGAGAAACUCAGGAAAACCUCUGGGAUUUUUUUUCAGGGAAGGGAUAAGAAUAAUAUGUAUGUAUGUAUGUAUGUAUAGUACCCAUGAAGGGAGGGAUUUCUGUUACCUUUAAGCAUCUUUUUGAUAAUUCCACGAAUGAUGAUUAGAAAUGUCCAAGAAAAGCAGUUAGAGGGUGAAUGUAAUGUGUCCAGUUUUAUUAUAUUUAGGCUGCAGCAAACAUUUAUAAGACUAUGUCACAGUUUACACUCUUUUUAAAACAGCAUUAGAGGAAUAGAUCAAAGAAAAGCAGUAGAUUGAUUUUGAUCAAAGCACUACUCAUAAGACUUCGGUGACUGACACAUCAGUGUGAACUUAUGAUAAAAGAUAUAGAUUAAUAACUAGGUGAAGGACGGUAUACAAUGGUGUCAACCUAAAGAGAGGAUUCUAGCAUAUCCCUUUAGGAUCUGAAUUCAGUUCUGUUUACUUCAGUAGUUAUAACCUAUUCACAUUUUAACUUGAAAACUAUAAAGUAGUUAGAUCCACCAUAUUUGUAUAUGACAAGAAAUCAGAGAGGCUUGGUACAUAGUUUGUGUUACAGAGUAAAGAAUCCACAGUAUUUGGACAACAAAGAGUAAAGGACCAAAACUAGUAAGCAUUUUAAAAGGAAAAAUGUAAGGUCCUGUCCUCACAUUCAAAAAGCCAGCUGUACAAAGGAUAGGAUCACUUAGCAAUAGCAUGUAUAAAAAGAGACUGCAGGUUUUACUUGACAGGACAUCAAUACCAAUCAAUAGUGUGGUAUAGCUCCAACAGAGCUAAUGGGAUCUUAUAUUUCAUGAAUAGAAAUAUAGUAACUGAAUUGAAGAGGUGAUUGGUUAUGCAGGAAUCUUGACAGUUCUGGGUACAAUACUUUGAGGAGCUUGCUGAAAUUAGAACAGAGAAUGACAACCAAAGAAAUAAAAUAAUUUUAUUUAUUAUAUAUUCAGACCUCCUAGGAACCUAACACUUCAUAACUGCUUUACUAAAGUUACACCCUUUAUCUCAAAGAAACAAGAAAAAAAAAAAAAGUGAGAUAGUUGAUGGUGAUGAAAUAUGUAUGGGUUACAUCAGGACAAGUUAUCUGCUUAUCACCCAAUGGGCUUCUAUGGUACAAAUAUACUGAUGAUUCUGCAUCUGUGUUCUGACUGCACAGUGGACCAGGGACUGGAUUAGAUCAGCACAACUUAAAUGGAUACAUUUCUCAGAGCCAACUCAAGUUCACUAAGAUCACAAAACCAAGUUUUACUCAAUUUGGCAGGUCAAUAGCUGCCGGGUCAGGGCUAUGGGGGGAACCUCAAAACUACUAGUAGAACAACACCAAAAACUAAAACUGGUAUUUUCUGUUUUCUGGACAACAGACUUUGCCACUGUCAACAUGAUGUGGAAAGUAACAUAAUGUCUUUUCUAUCAAAGGAACUUUUGGUCAUUCCAUUUUGCUCUGAUUUCAGCUGAAAUGCCUUUCUGCGAUCCCCCCUCCUCUUUCCCUCUUCUCCCAGUAACAGUUUGUUUCAAAUUAGCCAACUGAGAAGAAUGUGCACCCCGACCUGACCAAUGGGAAGGGGACCGGUACAUCACCUGCUAGGGAUAGAGAGUGAGAGUCUUUGCUUCUUUGCACACACUCUUUGAGCACCCACACCCUUCUGCAGAUGUAAAGAACCUUGUAGAGAUCUCCCCGUGUUCAUAUGUCUCAUUUUUCGAUAUUGACCAUCUGAGCCAUGUCCCUAACAGAUUUGGGGGCUCAUCCAGGAUUUGGGGUUCACUAGAGUGUGGAUUCUUGAGGAGGGGAGACGCAUCCCACAGCCUGUUGUGGUGGCCCUAAAUUGAGAAGACUGCACCUGUGAACUUCAAACCUGUGGAGGGUUCUCCACAACGUGGGAAAUUGUGUGAUGACCAGGCAACUCCAUUAAUGGACCAAGGCAGGAAAGAUCUUUGAUUGGUUGGGGAUGGGGGUUGGUAAGCCUCAAAGUGUCUCAGGUGAGACCAGUGAUUUCAGGUGAAAUCAGAGGAUCAUAACAUGAUCCUGGGAAAUGGGAAGUAAGUCGUCCUGACCUGUACCUCCAUUUGGAGUAUUGACUAGGGGAGGGGACCAAGUUCCUCCAGACCUUCCUCUGGGAUUGAUAUUAAAGUGUUGGGGCAACAAUCCAUUGAUGAAGGACAAAAAGAAGGAAAGAAUAAAUAUUGUUUUAUCUGGACACAGACACUGUUAUCGCCCCAUCUGUCUUCUGGCCAAAGUUCAGGUCAGACAAUGAUUGGGUCUGUCAGCUGCUCAGUUUGUCCAGGACAAGUCACUGGGGUUUCAGAAGGAAACUUAUUAUGCUCUCUGUUGGCAGCAGGGGACCAGUGCUCUUAUUUCCCCUCAGAUCAUGGGACCAAAAGGGAAAUGAGGAAACCCAAGAACAUUCUGGGGCCUCCUCCCCUCCAUGGGACCCCCUUGGCUCACUACCACCACCUUACAAUCCCCCAAAUGGUGCUGGCACCCCUCCAGCCAUAGCAGCCACUGCUGUUGCUGCCAGGGGUGUGCAGGUGGGGGAGAGGAGCAGAGCCACCACCCAGGCACAAGGGCACUGCCUCUGCUCACGGAGUUAACAUGGGAGGGGAGGGGUGCAGAGCCCCACACAGGCACCAGCACACUGAUGCUGCUGGCAGAGUCAGAACAGGAGGGUUAGGCUGCAGGCAUAAGCAUGCUGCCCCAGGCCAGGGGGUCAAAGUCCGCUGCCUCAACAAAACCAAAGGAUAUGGCAGAGCCUUAUUCCAGACUUAGGCAAGAGUUAAAACAAUGUCAUGAGUUCCCGUUGUGGCACAGUAGAAACAGGUCCAACUAGGAACCAUGAGGUUGUGGGGUCAAUCCCUGGCCUUGCUCAGUGGAUUAAGGAUCUAGCAUUGCCAUGAGCCAUGGUGUAGGUCACAGAUGGCUCAGAUCCCAUGUUGCUGUGGCUGUGGCGUAGGCCAGCAGCUGCAGCUCUGAUUGGACCCCUGGCUUGGGAACUUCCUUAUGCCACAGGUGUGGCCCUCAAAAUACA